CUACGUGCCAGCAGCCGCGGUAAUACGUAGGUGGCAAGCGUUGUCCGGAUUUAUUGGGCGUAAAGCGAGCGCAGGCGGUUCCUUAAGUCUGAUGUGAAAGCCCCCGGCUCAACCGGGGAGGGUCAUUGGAAACUGGGGAACUUGAGUGCAGAAGAGGAGAGUGGAAUUCCAUGUGUAGCGGUGAAAUGCGUAGAUAUAUGGAGGAACACCAGUGGCGAAGGCGACUCUCUGGUCUGUAACUGACGCUGAGGCUCGAAAGCGUGGGUAGCAAACAGGAUUAGAUACCCUGGUAGUCCACGCCGUAAACGAUGAGUGCUAAGUGUUGGAGGGUUUCCGCCCUUCAGUGCUGCAGUUAACGCAUUAAGCACUCCGCCUGGGGAGUACGACCGCAAGGUUGAAACUCAAAGGAAUUGACGGGGGCCCGCACAAGCGGUGGAGCAUGUGGUUUAAUUCGAAGCAACGCGAAGAACCUUACCAGGUCUUGACAUCCCGAUGCUAUUUCUAGAGAUAGAAAGUUA
RNAcentral lists this ribosomal RNA (518 nucleotides) under uncultured bacterium. RNAcentral describes it as "bacterial SSU rRNA". It matches the Rfam family "Bacterial small subunit ribosomal RNA", at positions 501 to 1016 of the family's 1533-position model. The record is from RNAcentral.